CUACGGGCCGCAGCAGGCGAGAAAACUUUGCAAUGUGCGAAAGCACGACAAGGUUAAUCCGAGUGGUUUGUGCUAAACGAACCUUUUGACAGUCCUAGAAACACUGUCGAAUAAGGGGUGGGCAAGUUCUGGUGUCAGCCGCCGCGGUAAAACCAGCACCUCAAGUGGUCAGGAUGAUUAUUGGGCCUAAAGCAUCCGUAGCCGGCUCUGUAAGUUUUCGGUUAAAUCUGUACGCUCAACGUACAGGCUGCCGGGAAUACUGCAGAGCUAGGGAGUGGGAGAGGUAGACGGUACUCGGUAGGAAGGGGUAAAAUCCUUUGAUCUAUUGAUGACCACCUGUGGCGAAGGCGGUCUACCAGAACACGUCCGACGGUGAGGGAUGAAAGCUGGGGGAGCAAACCGGAUUAGAUACCCUAGUAGUC
This 422-nucleotide ribosomal RNA is filed under the name uncultured archaeon. RNAcentral describes it as "partial 16S ribosomal RNA". It matches the Rfam family "Archaeal small subunit ribosomal RNA", at positions 323 to 746 of the family's 1478-position model. The record is from RNAcentral.